GACGAACGCUGGCGGCGUGCUUAACACAUGCAAGUCGAACGGAAAGGCCCUGCUUUUGUGGGGUGCUCGAGUGGCGAACGGGUGAGUAACACGUGAGUAACCUGCCCUUGACUUUGGGAUAACUUCAGGAAACUGGGGCUAAUGCCGGAUAGGAGCUCCUGCUGCAUGGUGGGGGUUGGAAAGUUUCGGCGGUUGGGGAUGGACUCGCGGCUUAUCAGCUUGUUGGUGGGGUAGUGGCUUACCAAGGCUUUGACGGGUAGCCGGCCUGAGAGGGUGACCGGCCGCAUUGGGACUGAGAUACGGCCCAGACUCCUACGGGAGGCAGCAGUGGGGAAUAUUGCACAAUGGGCGGAAGCCUGAUGCAGCAACGCCGCGUGCGGGAUGACGGCCUUCGGGUUGUAAACCGCUUUCGCCUGUGACGAAGCGUGAGUGACGGUAAUGGGUAAAGAAGCACCGGCUAACUACGUG
RNAcentral lists this ribosomal RNA (468 nucleotides) under uncultured bacterium. Its description in RNAcentral is "partial 16S ribosomal RNA". It matches the Rfam family "Bacterial small subunit ribosomal RNA", at positions 28 to 507 of the family's 1533-position model. The record is from RNAcentral.